Molecule: long non-coding RNA, 984 nt
Organism: Myodes glareolus (Bank vole)
Lineage: Eukaryota; Metazoa; Chordata; Mammalia; Rodentia; Cricetidae
Source: RefSeq, a predicted model, not a curated record
UAAAAUUAUUUGCUCAAAACCAUAUAGCCAGUUAGUGAUAAAACCAGAAUUUGACCUUGUUCUGAGCUCCAGCUGGUCUCCUUCUACGGACACUGAUCUACUGAGUCCAGCAGUUCUCCAGCCUGUCAGACACCUCGCGCUCCGUGAGUACCCCCAGCGGCCUCGGAGAAGGGAGGCGGGUGGAGCCCACUUUUGAAUCCCCAAGCCUGGGCGCAGCAAGACCGUGUAGCGGUAAGAUUCCGCCCACUCUAGAGGGUGCACCAGGAUUGCCUCCGCCGCAGUGCCAGAGCGUCAGAAGCACAGUGCCAUCCGGGAUGCCCACCCAAACCACCACUUGCCAGAGGACGGGCCCGCUCACCUACCACGGACACCGCUCCCCCGCCGCCGUUCCACUCCUUACUCGGGCCUCUCCCGCUCUCUAAGAGAGCAAGUCCACGCGGGGGCGGGGCGACUCACCCGGAAGCGGCUCUCUACUGCCCGCCCCCACGGGCGUGCAGCCUACGCUCCCUUCAGGGCAGCCUCUGAUCGCUGGCCUGGCCCACGCUCCGAGGGCUGGAAUCUUGGCCAAUCAGGAGUCUUCGGGGAGCCCGCGAGCCCGCCUACCCCGCCACUCCGGUCCACACCCCCUCCCACCUCUCGGGCCGCACUUGAGUGGGGGAAGGUCAUAGCCUCUCUGGGCGGACCCUGGCUUGCCAGUCCGAACUCUCUGAAGAGUUCUCUAGGUUUCUUCUUACCCUCAGGUAAAAAACUGGCUGUUGCUCAUUUUUUUAAAAAAAAACAAUGUGGAUGUUCAGGACGAUAAAACACGUAAUGCCUAACACAGCGGGUAAGUCCAUUUUGGCGGAUUGUGCACUUUAAAGUUGUUGCAUUCAGCAGCAGACAGCCCAUUUCAGACAAAUUUAUUACAGGGUAAUUAAUUAUCCAGCCCUUGAUCUGUCAUGGGUUAAAAGAUAUAGACAUUGAAAAUAAAGAAAAGUAACCACA